This 253-nucleotide ribosomal RNA is filed under the name uncultured bacterium. RNAcentral describes it as "partial 16S ribosomal RNA". It matches the Rfam family "Bacterial small subunit ribosomal RNA", at positions 524 to 776 of the family's 1533-position model. The record is from RNAcentral.
UACGUAGGGGGCAAGCGUUGUCCGGAUUUAUUGGGCGUAAAGAGCGUGUAGGCGGUCUGGUAGGUCCGUUGUGAAAACUCGAGGCUCAACCUCGAGACGCCGAUGGAAACCAUCAGACUAGAGUCCGGAAGAGGAGAGUGGAAUUCCUGGUGUAGCGGUGGAAUGCGCAGAUAUCAGGAGGAACACCGAUGGCGAAGGCAGGUCUCUGGGCCACUACUGACGCUGAGAAGCGAAAGCAUGGGGAGCGAACAGG